GACAAACGCUGGCGGCGUGCUUAACACAUGCAAGUCGAACGGGAUUUAGUAGACAGAAGCCUCGGCUAAAGAUUACUAAUGAGAGUGGCGAACGGGUGAGUAACGCGUGAGCAACCUGCCUAUGACAGUGGGAUAGCCUCGGGAAACCGGGAUUAAUACCGCAUAAAAUCGUAGAAACACAUGUUUCAACGGUCAAAGAUUUAUCGGUCAUAGAUGGGCUCGCGUCUGAUUAGCUAGUUGGUGAGAUAACAGCCCACCAAGGCGACGAUCAGUAGCCGGUCUGAGAGGAUGAACGGCCACAUUGGAACUGAGACACGGUCCAAACUCCUACGGGAGGCAGCAGUGGGGAAUAUUGCACAAUGGGGGAAACCCUGAUGCAGCGACGCCGCGUGAACGAAGAAGGUAUUCGUAUCGUAAAGUUCUGUCCUAUGGGAAGAUAAUGACAGUACCAUAGAAGAAAGCUCCGGCUAAAUACGUG
RNAcentral lists this ribosomal RNA (478 nucleotides) under uncultured bacterium. RNAcentral describes it as "partial 16S ribosomal RNA". It matches the Rfam family "Bacterial small subunit ribosomal RNA", at positions 28 to 507 of the family's 1533-position model. The record is from RNAcentral.